AUCCUAGAGAAGGAGGAGGAAGAGGAAGAAAUGGCUGACUCUCAGGGAUUGUUAGCAUUCAGGGAUGUGGCCACAGACUUCUCUCUGG
This 88-nucleotide microRNA precursor is filed under the name Otolemur garnettii (small-eared galago). RNAcentral's name for it is "miRNA (ENSOGAG00000024847.1)". The record is from RNAcentral. Lineage: Eukaryota; Metazoa; Chordata; Mammalia; Primates; Galagidae.